Molecule: ribosomal RNA, 494 nt
Filed under: uncultured bacterium
Lineage: Bacteria
Description: SSU rRNA
Rfam family: Bacterial small subunit ribosomal RNA
Source: RNAcentral
AGGACGAACGCUGGCGGCGUGCUUAACACAUGCAAGUGGAGCGACGAACCAGGGCUUGCCCUGGGGCAGAGCCGCGAACGGGUGAGUAACACGUGGGUUACCUGCCUCGAUGACCGGGACAACCCGAGGAAACUCGGGCUAAUACCGGAUGUGCCCGCAAGGGGAAAGGAAGCUUCGGCCUCCGCAUCGAGAUGGGCCCGCGGCCCAUUAGCUUGUUGGUGAGGUAACGGCUCACCAAGGCUUCGAUGGGUAGCUGGUCUGAGAGGACGAUCAGCCACACUGGGACUGAGACACGGCCCAGACUCCUACGGGAGGCAGCAGUGGGGAAUCUUGCGCAAUGCGCGAAAGCGUGACGCAGCAACGCCGCGUGGGGGAAGAAGGCUUUCGGGUUGUAAACCCCGUUUCAGUUGGGACGAAGCUUCGCCGGUGAAUAGCCGGCUGGAGUGACGGUACCUUCACAAGAACGCACCGGCUAACUACGUGCCAGCAGCCGC